CAGUAGCCGCGGUAAUACGUAGGGUGCGAGCGUUGUUCGGAAUUAUUGGGCGUAAAGGGUGCGUAGGCGGUUUGGCAAGUUUGGUGUGAAAUCUUCGGGCUCAACUCGAAGUCUGCAUCGAAAACUGCCGGGCUUGAGUAUGGGAGAGGUGAGUGGAAUUUCCGGUGUAGCGGUGAAAUGCGUAGAUAUCGGAAGGAACACCUGUGGCGAAAGCGGCUCACUGGACCAUAACUGACGCUGAUGCACGAAAGCUAGGGGAGCAAACAGGAUUAGAUACCCCCGUAGUCCCUGUCUCUUAUAC
Molecule: ribosomal RNA, 301 nt
Filed under: uncultured bacterium
Lineage: Bacteria
Description: partial 16S ribosomal RNA
Rfam family: Bacterial small subunit ribosomal RNA
Source: RNAcentral